AUUUAAGUAGUUUAAAUAAAAUAUUAAUUUGUGGGAUUAAUGAUAUUUUGAAUAUAAGUAAAAGUCUUAAAUU
This 73-nucleotide transfer RNA is filed under the name Atta texana. RNAcentral describes it as "tRNA-His". The record is from RNAcentral. Lineage: Eukaryota; Metazoa; Arthropoda; Insecta; Hymenoptera; Formicidae.